AUGUUCUCUGUAGCUCUGCUGCUGCUGCUGGCUGCUGGAUCCUGUGUGAAGUGUGAACAGUUGACACAGCCAGCCUCAGUGACUGUGCAGCCAGGUCAACGUCUGACCAUCACCUGUCAGGUCUCUUAUUCUCUUAGCAGCUAUGCUACAGCUUGGAUCAGACAGCCUGCAGGGAAAGGACUGGAGUGGAUAAUACGUGGAGGUGUUGGAUACACCACAAGCUACAAAGAUUCCCUAAAGAACAAGUUCAGUAUUGACUUAGACUCUUCCAGCAAAACAGUGACUCUAAAUGGACAGAAUAUGCAGCCUGAAGACACUGCUGUGUAUUACUGUGCCAGAGACCCACAAUAA
Molecule: non-coding RNA, 351 nt
Organism: Scomber japonicus (chub mackerel)
Lineage: Eukaryota; Metazoa; Chordata; Actinopteri; Scombriformes; Scombridae
Source: the annotation of a RefSeq genome assembly